GUUUAUGUAGCUUAGUAUACCCAAAGCAAGACACUGAAAAUGUCUAGACGGACCCACAAACCCCGUAAACA
This is a non-coding RNA of Rhinopithecus roxellana (golden snub-nosed monkey), 71 nucleotides long. The record is from Ensembl. Lineage: Eukaryota; Metazoa; Chordata; Mammalia; Primates; Cercopithecidae.